GUGGGGAAUAUUGGACAAUGGGCGAAAGCCUGAUCCAGCCAUGCCGCGUGUGUGAAGAAGGUCUUCGGAUUGUAAAGCACUUUAAGUUGGGAGGAAGGGCAGUAAGUUAAUACCUUGCUGUUUUGACGUUACCAACAGAAUAAGCACCGGCUAACUUCGUGCCAGCAGCCGCGGUAAUACGAAGGGUGCAAGCGUUAAUCGGAAUUACUGGGCGUAAAGCGCGCGUAGGUGGUUCAGCAAGUUGAAGGUGAAAUCCCCGGGCUCAACCUGGGAACUGCCUCCAAAACUACUGAGCUAGAGUACGGUAGAGGGUAGUGGAAUUUCCUGUGUAGCGGUGAAAUGCGUAGAUGUAGGAAGGAACACCAGUGGCGAAGGCGACUACCUGGACUGAUACUGACACUGAGGUGCGAAAGCGUGGGGAGCAAACAGGAUUAGAUACCCGAGUAGUCC
Molecule: ribosomal RNA, 450 nt
Filed under: uncultured bacterium
Lineage: Bacteria
Description: partial 16S ribosomal RNA
Rfam family: Bacterial small subunit ribosomal RNA
Source: RNAcentral